GCCCGGGGCGGGGUGCUAUACAUGCAAGUCGAGCGAAGAGAUGGGAGCUUGCUCCCAUGAUCUUAGCGGCGGACGGGUGAGUAACACGUGGGCAACCUGCCCUGCAGACUGGGAUAACUCCGGGAAACCGGAGCUAAUACCGGGUAAUACAUCGCACCGCAUGGUGCAAUGUUGAAAGUUGGCUUUCUGAGCUAACACUGCAGGAUGGGCCCGCGGCGCAUUAGCUAGUUGGUAAGGUAAUGGCUUACCAAGGCAACGAUGCGUAGCCGACCUGAGAGGGUGAUCGGCCACACUGGGACUGAGACACGGCCCAGACUCCUACGGGAGGCAGCAGUAGGGAAUCUUCCGCAAUGGACGAAAGUCUGACGGAGCAACGCCGCGUGAGUGACGAAGGCCUUCGGGUCGUAAAGCUCUGUUGUUAGGGAAGAACAAGUACCGUUCGAAUAGGGCGGUACCUUGACGGUACCUAACCAGAAAGCCACGGCUAACUACGUGCCAGCAGCCGCGGUAAU
RNAcentral lists this ribosomal RNA (512 nucleotides) under Guptibacillus hwajinpoensis. RNAcentral's name for it is "bacterial SSU rRNA". It matches the Rfam family "Bacterial small subunit ribosomal RNA", at positions 38 to 524 of the family's 1533-position model. Lineage: Bacteria; Bacillati; Bacillota; Bacilli; Caryophanales; Guptibacillaceae. The record is from RNAcentral.